CGGCUGCAUUACGACACCAGCGAAAUUGAUGAGCAGCUCUACUAUCUCGGUUGUAGCUCGGCGGACGAGAGUAUUUCACUUCUUAUUUCUGCAUUUCUUCCGAAUCUAUCUCCCCACUCAGCUAUGCAGGUGUGUAAGGGGUGAAGUUCUCAAUGGGAGCCGAGACUAUCGCACAGUGCCAGUAGAGAGACACCGAUGAAGUGUCAGUCAUGCUGGUGGCUGGCAGCGACGGCAGAGCAGAGCGUGACAUGCCAGUGUUUUUUCCUGAGGGGAUGUGUGUUUUCUUGGUCUUGGAUCCACGGAGUGAUAGCAGAACGUUCCAUUUAUUCUAUGGUUCUUUCCUUCCCUUCUUAUUUCUGCCACCAUGGCAUGAUCCAGAGCAGGGCGGUGUAACUGGGUGAUUCAACAUCACUGUUAUAGUGAUAGGAAGAGACACCAAGGAUUUUGCAACAAGGGCAAGUAGGAAAACCGUAAAGGUUAUUUUCCCCUUCAUAAUCAACGCAGUUCUCUCUGGCAGUGUUCAAGCCUUAGCAGCAGUCAAUCUGAGUGUUUCUGACUUCUGGCUGAUUUGUUCUUCUUCUGAUGAUGACAGUUGGCAGCUCUCUUCUGGUUUCUUCGGACAGCUCAGUGUCACUUGGUUUUAUAGUGACUGACUUGACUUGCCAUUUCGGGAUCCUAAUUUAUUCGGAUAACCUUCCUAAUAAGUGUUAUUGUAGAUAUUGAGAGAUGCCUGUAGUCUACUAGAGCACUGUCGAGUCGGGAGUCUUGUCAGACCGAGACACUGAGAAUGCAGAGCACAGUUCGUUUUCUAACAGAACAAAGACUGAAUAUACCAAAGCCACUGCAUCACAGAGAAUUGUGCCAAACCAGCCCUGAUAACAGCGUUGAUCACCUCUCCCACGAACAUAACCUUUUAUAAGGACUUUUUGCAUUAUGCACGGAUCAAACAAUGAAGUGAAAUACUCGUCCGCCGAGCCAAAACGAGCUUCACCCGAGACAGUAAAGCUGCUCCGCUGCUUCACUGGUGUCAUAACGCAGCCAUGUUCCUGCCUCUGACUACCAUCGUCCUCACAGAGCCCAGCCUCUCUUCUCCG
This 1094-nucleotide long non-coding RNA is filed under the name Salmo salar (Atlantic salmon). Its description in RNAcentral is "lncRNA (ENSSSAG00000122082.1)". Lineage: Eukaryota; Metazoa; Chordata; Actinopteri; Salmoniformes; Salmonidae. The record is from RNAcentral.